RNAcentral lists this ribosomal RNA (460 nucleotides) under uncultured bacterium. RNAcentral's name for it is "partial 16S ribosomal RNA". It matches the Rfam family "Bacterial small subunit ribosomal RNA", at positions 338 to 795 of the family's 1533-position model. The record is from RNAcentral.
CCUACGGGUGGCAGCAGUGAGGAAUAUUGGUCAAUGGACGAGAGUCUGAACCAGCCAAGUAGCGUGAAGGAUGACUGCCCUAUGGGUGGUAAACUUCUUUUAUAUGGGAAUAAAAUGUUCCACGUGUGGGAGUUUGUAUGUACCAUAUGAAUAAGGAUCGGCUAACUCCGUGCCAGCAGCCGCGGUAAUACGGAGGAUCCGAGCGUUAUCCGGAUUUAUUGGGUUUAAAGGGAGCGUAGGUGGAUUGUUAAGUCCGUUGUGAAAGUUUGCGGCUCAACCGUAAAAUUGCAGUUGAAACUGGCAGUCUUGAGUACAGUAGAGGUGGGCGGAAUUCGUGGUGUAGCGGUGAAAUGCUUAGAUAUCACGAAGAACUCCGAUUGCGAAGGCAGCUCACUGGACUGCAACUGACACUGAGGCUCGAAAGUGUGGGUAUCAAACAGGAUUAGAUACCCUUGUAGUC